RNAcentral lists this ribosomal RNA (497 nucleotides) under uncultured bacterium. RNAcentral describes it as "bacterial SSU rRNA". It matches the Rfam family "Bacterial small subunit ribosomal RNA", at positions 899 to 1397 of the family's 1533-position model. The record is from RNAcentral.
ACUCAAAGGAAUAGACGGGGGCCCGCACAAGCAGCGGAGCAUGUGGUUUAAUUCGAAGCAACGCGAAGAACCUUACCAAGGCUUGACAUCCCGUGCUAUCUGUGGAAACAUGGAGUCCCUUCGGGGCGCGGAGACAGGUGGUGCAUGGUUGUCGUCAGCUCGUGUCGUGAGAUGUUGGGUUAAGUCCCGCAACGAGCGCAACCCUUGCUCUCAGUUACCAUCGGGUAAAGCCGGGGACUCUGGGAGGACUGCCGGGGACAACUCGGAGGAAGGUGGGGACGACGUCAAAUCAUCAUGCCCCUUAUGUCUUGGGCUACACACGUGCUACAAUGGCCGCAACAAAGGGCAGCGAAAGGGCAACCUGGAGCGAAACCCAUAAAAUCGGUCUCAGUUCGGAUUGUGGGCUGCAACCCGCCCACAUGAAGUCGGAGUUGCUAGUAAUCGCGGAUCAGCAUGCCGCGGUGAAUGCGUUCCCGGGCCUUGUACACACCGCCCGU